Molecule: long non-coding RNA, 645 nt
Organism: Brassica oleracea var. oleracea
Lineage: Eukaryota; Viridiplantae; Streptophyta; Magnoliopsida; Brassicales; Brassicaceae
Exons: 4
Source: RefSeq, a predicted model, not a curated record
UCAGGUUAAAUGCUACAUUACUCAGCUAUUAAAGGCCUCGACCAUUGUCCCGCCAACCAUUGUUGGGAUUGACUUCGAGAGCACAAGCAGCAUAAUAGGUGCAAUAUACGCACUUUCCAGUAUAAACAAGACAUGCCAGCAGAGACAUUCAAAGAGUUCUAGAUUCUAUUAUUUUGCUUCUAAACAGUGUGUUCCCAAUGGAUUCAAAAAUUAAAGGCACUGCAACUAAUGAAUGCUCUCAAGAGCAAGGGUGUUGGUGUCAAUACUCGUGUGGAGCAGACUGAUGGUGUGGUAGCAUCACUUGGUGAAAAUACAAAUGUCAACCAUCAAACUUCCUCAUCUGUUGUACCAGAAGGAGGGCGUUCAGCAUCAAACAAUCAGAUUUUUGACCCAAAGAAUGGAAAGAAGAAGGCACGGUUGGAUUGGAUCCACCUAGAAAACACAAAUCACCAUUACAUUUCCUUAUGUUUUUAUGUCGUCCUUUUCGUUUGGUUAUGCACUAUAAUUUAGAACUUUAUCGAUUUUUAAUUAAACUCAACGCGGUGGGUGGUUUUUCAAUAAACACAAUAUAUGCAUUGAAGAAGUCAAGUCCUCAGCAUGUUAAAUUGUGUAAAAAAUAUUUUAUUUGAGAUGUUAAAUCUAUUC